UACGUAGGGUGCGAGCGUUGUCCGGAAUUAUUGGGCGUAAAGGGCUCGUAGGCGGUCUGUCGCGUCGGGAGUGAAAACUCAGGGCUUAACCCUGAGCCUGCUUCCGAUACGGGCAGACUAGAGGUAUGCAGGGGAGAACGGAAUUCCUGGUGUAGCGGUGGAAUGCGCAGAUAUCAGGAGGAACACCGGUGGCGAAGGCGGUUCUCUGGGCAUUUCCUGACGCUGAGGAGCGAAAGUGUGGGGAGCGAACAGG
This 253-nucleotide ribosomal RNA is filed under the name uncultured bacterium. RNAcentral describes it as "partial 16S ribosomal RNA". It matches the Rfam family "Bacterial small subunit ribosomal RNA", at positions 524 to 776 of the family's 1533-position model. The record is from RNAcentral.